Long non-coding RNA from Pseudophryne corroboree (corroboree frog), 367 nucleotides. RefSeq lists it as uncharacterized. NCBI's taxonomy places the organism in Eukaryota, Metazoa, Chordata, Amphibia, Anura, Myobatrachidae. The transcript has 2 exons. The record is from RefSeq and is a predicted model, not a curated record.
AUAAGAGUAGCUCAGAUUUCUUUUGGUGGUGUUAUGUGAUUAUUACAUGGUACAAUUAGCAGAACUUGGGUAAAUAUGAAAAUAAUGCGGCUCUAUGGACGCUGUCUAUUAGCGUCCUGGUUACUAUGGAAGCUCCCUGCGACGCGGCGCGCCGUGAUGACGUCACCCGCGAGACGCUGCAGCGGACCGGGAGAGUGGUAUCGCCGGCGCGCCGUGGAGCAGGUGAGUGUGAUUAGGGCUUACUGUGAUUUGAUUUGGUUGGGGAUAUAUGUAUGUAUGUUUGUGCACAUUUGGUAAUACUGCCCUGAGGACGGAGGAAGCUCCGAAACAUGUUGGCUUGUUGCUAAUAAAGAAUUAACGGAUUCCA